RNAcentral lists this long non-coding RNA (218 nucleotides) under Elaeis guineensis (African oil palm). Its description in RNAcentral is "long non-coding RNA (EGUI_LNC048436)". The record is from RNAcentral. Lineage: Eukaryota; Viridiplantae; Streptophyta; Magnoliopsida; Arecales; Arecaceae.
GGCCGGCAAAGAAUUAGGAUAGAAUCCCAUCCCAACCACUGCCAACAUUUUAACCUGCAUGGUACCAAGAGCUUCCAAAUCCGGUUGCCUGGCUGAGCAUCGGAAGUGAGUGAUCUAGAGAGCUCUCUUGUAGGAAGGAACAUAAUUGAGCCAGUUUGAUCCUCAACAUAGCUGAUCAGCUCACCUUCCUUUGGUUGAAGGAAUACAGUUUAUGUGGG